This 301-nucleotide ribosomal RNA is filed under the name uncultured bacterium. RNAcentral's name for it is "partial 16S ribosomal RNA". It matches the Rfam family "Bacterial small subunit ribosomal RNA", at positions 509 to 807 of the family's 1533-position model. The record is from RNAcentral.
CAGCCGCCGCGGUAAUACGUAGGUGGCAAGCGUUGUCCGGAAUUAUUGGGCGUAAAGCGCGCGCAGGUGGUUCCUUAAGUCUGAUGUGAAAGCCCACGGCUCAACCGUGGAGGGUCAUUGGAAACUGGGGGACUUGAGUGCAGAAGAGGAAAGUGGAAUUCCAAGUGUAGCGGUGAAAUGCGUAGAUAUUUGGAGGAACACCAGUGGCGAAGGCGACUUUCUGGUCUGUAACUGACACUGAGGCGCGAAAGCGUGGGGAGCAAACAGGAUUAGAUACCCCCGUAGUCCCUGUCUCUUAUAC